UGCUCCUGAAGGUUAGCGCGGACGGGUGAGUAACACGUGGGCAACCUGCCUGUAAGACUGGGAUAACUUCGGGAAACCGGAGCUAAUACCGGAUAAUCCUUUUCCUCUCAUGAGGAAAAGCUGAAAGUCGGUUUCGGCUGACACUUACAGAUGGGCCCGCGGCGCAUUAGCUAGUUGGUGAGGUAACGGCUCACCAAGGCAACGAUGCGUAGCCGACCUGAGAGGGUGAUCGGCCACACUGGGACUGAGACACGGCCCAGACUCCUACGGGAGGCAGCAGUAGGGAAUCUUCCGCAAUGGACGAAAGUCUGACGGAGCAACGCCGCGUGAGCGAUGAAGGCCUUCGGGUCGUAAAGCUCUGUUGUUAGGGAAGAACAAGUGCCGGAGUAACUGCCGGCACCUUGACGGUACCUAACCAGAAAGCCACGG
Molecule: ribosomal RNA, 429 nt
Filed under: unidentified bacterium TMB811
Lineage: Bacteria
Description: bacterial SSU rRNA
Rfam family: Bacterial small subunit ribosomal RNA
Source: RNAcentral